Molecule: transfer RNA, 69 nt
Filed under: Candidatus Latescibacterota bacterium
Lineage: Bacteria; Pseudomonadati; Candidatus Latescibacterota
Description: tRNA-His
Rfam family: tRNA
About the family: Transfer RNA (tRNA) molecules are approximately 80 nucleotides in length.
Source: RNAcentral
AAGCGGUAAGUGUUGCUGGUGACACACUAGACUGUGGCUCUGGAGUGACGGGUUCGAGCCCCGUACCGC